UUUCAGCUUUGGGGACUUCCAAAAUGUUGGCAAACACAGCUCCAGCUGGCCUGGGGCCUGUGGCUUCUCCAUCAGCAGCAAGUGCCAGAGCCAGCAGCGGCAGAAGGCUCCAUUCCCGAGCACCGGCGGCUUCUCGGCGCUAAUGAGGCGGCGGCUGCUGCAGCAGGUGCCGCUCCUCUCCUCACGGCCACGGCUCCCGCUGCGGGGCUCGGGGGGCUCGGGGGACGCGGGGCUGCUGCAGGAGCAGCGAGCGUACUGCCAGCUGCACGGCUGGAAAAGCCGCAGCACCCCUGCGAGCUGCUCCUGCUCUCCCGGGGGGGAACACACACGCUGAGGGGCUCAGGCCGAGGGCGGGCCCGGCUGGGCCCCGAGCGCCGCCUCCUGCGGCCCUGCCAGCCAGCGAGCGGCCUGCGCAAACACCGGCGGCGGCGCAGCUGCUGCCGCCAGCGCCGGGGAAAACAAGCCAUUAAAUAGCUGAUCUAUCAAGUUUAAGCUAGAUGCCAAAGCAGAAAUAAACGUCUGUUAGACUGCCUAUUUUGUUUGGUU
RNAcentral lists this long non-coding RNA (546 nucleotides) under Cyanistes caeruleus (blue tit). Its description in RNAcentral is "lncRNA (ENSCCEG00000010055.1)". Lineage: Eukaryota; Metazoa; Chordata; Aves; Passeriformes; Paridae. The record is from RNAcentral.